This 1318-nucleotide long non-coding RNA is filed under the name Volvox carteri. RNAcentral describes it as "long non-coding RNA (VCAR_LNC003740)". The record is from RNAcentral. Lineage: Eukaryota; Viridiplantae; Chlorophyta; Chlorophyceae; Chlamydomonadales; Volvocaceae.
ACCAACGAAAACGGGAUUCGAAGGGAAAACAAACAAACAAACAAACAAAAAUUCGGUUAGGGCAGUCCCGGCAGGGGAGGGCUCCUGAUAUACCUAACAGGCCAACAAAAAACCUCCAAGAGAGAAAGGCUAAGAGAGCUCGACACCACAAGACGUCUUGCAACCACCUUAAAACAACUGACCUCCACCACCUGUCCCUUCCUGGGCUGGUCCAGGGGAGAAAGUAGCCUUAUAAAGAAAAGGGAUCCCGCACAAGCCUGAUCACCACUGCAGGGGCCCGGGAUAGUCCGGCGAAACCACAAAAGCGUUAGCGUUGCCACGACACACAGCUCCUAGACCCUCCAGAAAACUGCAGGGGGGGGAUUGUAGCCCGCGCGGCGCCUCCCCCUUACCGCCACUAACCUGAACGGCUGGUCUUCCAGAAACCUUUUCACCCUGUCUCGUACUGCACCGCUCUCACCCUCGUCCCUCACCAAGCAACCCAGUCCCACAGAGAAGACGUGUCUAAAUAGAAUGGUCCUCCUCGGGCCACACCUCCCCCUCAUCCGAGCCCCGCUACCACCACCAGACCUCAACCUCCCAAACACCAGACCUACGUCCUUUUGGUGCUCUCACCGCCAUCUCCCCCCUCCCCUGUCCGAGCGACCCCACCUCCCCCCGGCUCUCCAGCACCCUACAACCUCGGAGUGGCACUAGGGAAGAAAAAGGGUUCUUCCCUGCACGACGUGACCGCCUCCAUUCCCCGUCCUUCUCCUCUCCCUCUCCCGUCUCAGGGUUCCCUCUCACCUAUUCCCUUGUCCUCCAACCCCCAUCCCCCUCGAACUCCUAUAGCCCCCCGAGCCCUGCCCUACAAACUAAGCUCAAAGCGCUCUUAGGCAAUAAUUUCCACCGCUUCGGCGCACCGCAGUGCGCCUUCUGAAACCGACAGGAUCGGGUGGUCGGGUCCCACCCUGUCCCAGCCUCUCCGCGGGGUGCCCAGCGCCGUGAAGGAGCGCAGACGCGCCCAGAAGUCCACCACUGCCCGGGCGCAGGCCCGCUCCAAGGGGGUUGCUGCGGGUGCUGCUGCUGCCGCGCCUGCCGUUGCUGCUACCGCCCCUGUCGCCGUGUUCCUCUCCUGCGUUUGGUCCUCAUCCCCCGGCGCAUUCAGUGCAGGCCCCGUCUGCGGUCCCGCCCCGUCGGCCUGGAUGAAAAAGUCCGUUAUCCGCCUCUGUCUGGGGCCGGGUACCUGCACCUGCUGCGCGUGCUCCCGGUUCUGUGGUCCUUGGCUCCCAGCUCGUUCCUGCCUCCUGCCUGCUGCCCUCAGGCAGCAUCUGCCAAC